CAAAUUUGGAUGUGUAAAAUUAUUUUAAGCGCUAUAGGGUUAAUGUUGCCUAUAAAUCUGUUUUGCCUAACUCUUAGUAUUUUGAUAGUGGCUGUUCUAGACAUACGACUGGAAAUCUCGUUAUGUUAACUGAUUACAUGAGGAAUUGUUACUUUUGGGGAUGAUGCCCCAUAGUAGAAUUGCAGAAGUUGUUACUAUUGAGAUAAAUGGAUUACCUAUGCUGAAAAAUGUGUUCUAUGUUAACUUGAAAGCUAAUUUGAUUAGCG
This 266-nucleotide long non-coding RNA is filed under the name Olea europaea (common olive). RNAcentral describes it as "long non-coding RNA (OEUR_LNC010940)". Lineage: Eukaryota; Viridiplantae; Streptophyta; Magnoliopsida; Lamiales; Oleaceae. The record is from RNAcentral.